GUUCCAGCAGCGGUGUCGUAGUUAGGUGGCUAGCGUGGUCGGGGAUAUUUAUUUUGGGUUAGAUGGGCGCUGGCGGUUUUAACCUCUGAUCGUGAUAGGCCUUCUCUCUACGGGGUUGGGGUUCCAGGAGUAUGGGUACCUUUAGUGCAGAGGGGGUGAGUGGAUUUACAGUCAGUAGCGGUGAAAUUGGGAGAGAUGUGGCGGAAGUCUAGCUGCGAAAGGUGUCUGUAUGGUCUGUUACGAGUGUGAGUCCAGUCUGCUUGGGGACCGACCAGUUUUACAUUUCCCGGUGGUCCUCGCCGUAUGAGCUGAGUGCUAAGUGUUAGAGGGUAUGAACCCGCUUGUGCUGCCGCUAACGCCUAAAACACUCGGCCUGGGGAGUACGGUAGCUAGACUGAAAGUCAAUGGCAUGUAGGGGGCCCCGCACUAGCGGUUGAGCAUGUCAAGAUUUCGCACAACCGAAGGACCUUGCCAGGUCUUGACAUCAUAGGACAACGAUCCGAAUAGGUUUCUCCUUCGGGGGGCGGGUUCCGUGUGGUGCAUUCCAUUGUGGAAGAUUCCCUAGAGAUCCGGGUUAAGUCCCGCAACGAGCUCAACCUCCCUGUUAGCCCCAGCAUUCAGUUGGGCACUUUAAGGUGAUUGCCUUUGACAAACGGGAGGAAGGUGGGGAUGAAGUCAAAUCAUCAUCCCCCUUAUAACCUGGGCUACACACCUCCUUCAAUGGGCAGACCAAAGGGCAGCGAAGCCGUGAGGGUAAACCAAUCCCACACAUCAUUAUCAGUUUGGAUCGCACUGGCAACUCGAGUGUGGAAGCGGAAUCGUUGGUUCUCGAGGAUCAGCAUUCCCGCGCCCCCC
RNAcentral lists this ribosomal RNA (855 nucleotides) under uncultured Bacillus sp. Its description in RNAcentral is "bacterial SSU rRNA". It matches the Rfam family "Bacterial small subunit ribosomal RNA", at positions 505 to 1369 of the family's 1533-position model. Lineage: Bacteria; Bacillati; Bacillota; Bacilli; Caryophanales; Bacillaceae. The record is from RNAcentral.